RNAcentral lists this ribosomal RNA (253 nucleotides) under uncultured bacterium. RNAcentral describes it as "partial 16S ribosomal RNA". It matches the Rfam family "Bacterial small subunit ribosomal RNA", at positions 524 to 776 of the family's 1533-position model. The record is from RNAcentral.
UACGAAGGGGGCUAGCGUUGCUCGGAAUGACUGGGCGUAAAGGGCGCGUAGGCGGUUCGUACAGUCAGACGUGAAAUUCCCGGGCUCAACCUGGGGGCUGCGUUUGAUACGUGCGGGCUUGAGUCCGGGAGAGGUGAGUGGAAUUCCUAGUGUAGAGGUGAAAUUCGUAGAUAUUAGGAAGAACACCAGUGGCGAAGGCGGCUCACUGGCCCGGUACUGACGCUGAGGCGCGAAAGCGUGGGGAGCAAACAGG